CACAGCUCCAAGAACCUUGUAAAGCAUGAAGAAGGACCAUGUAGACAGAUUUUUUUGGAAAAAAAAUUCAAGAAGAUCUAGGGGAAAGACAGCUUCUAAAGGGGAUCAAACUCAGGACCUUGUGCUUUUGAGGCAGGCGUGAUGCCACUGAGGUGGUCAAUUGAUCCAGCAGAACUGAGGAUUGGUUUGUGAAAAAUUUGGGGCAUUUUUCCUUCCUUCAGCCUCUCUUUCUAACUCGAGGUAGGUUUGCUGACAGUGAUCCAUCAGCCAAGUCCAAUAAAUUUAGACUUAAGAUUUUUUGGAUGUUGGAUGAACACUGUGUGCAAUUUGAGAUGGCUGGUUUGGUGCAGCCUUUCAUAUCCUGGUCACAGAAAGUACCAAAUCUUUGUUGGCUCAA
Molecule: long non-coding RNA, 397 nt
Organism: Fukomys damarensis (Damara mole-rat)
Lineage: Eukaryota; Metazoa; Chordata; Mammalia; Rodentia; Bathyergidae
Exons: 3
Source: RefSeq, a predicted model, not a curated record